AACGCUGGCGGCAGCCUAACACAUGCAAGUCGAGCGCCCCGCAAGGGGAGCGGCAGACGGGAGAGUAACACGUGGGAACAUGCCCUUCAGUACGGAACAACCAAGGGAAACUUUGGCUAAUACCGUAUACGUCCGUAAGGAGAAAGAUUUAUCGCUGAAGGAUUGGCCCGCGUCUGAUUAGCUAGUUGGUGGGGUAAUGGCCCACCAAGGCGACGAUCAGUAGCUGGUCUGAGAGGAUGAUCAGCCUCACCGGGACUGAGACACGGCCCAGACUCCUACGGGAGACAGCAGUGGGGAAUAUUGGACAAUGGGCGCAAGCCUGAUCCAGCCAUGCCGCGUGGAUGAUGAAGGCCCUAGGGUUGUAAAGUCCUUUCGGCGGGGAAGAUAAUGACGGUACCCGCAGAAGAAGCCCCGGCUAACUUCGUGCCAGCAGCCGCGGUAAUACGAAGGGGGCUAGCGUUGCUCGGAAUCACUGGGCGUAAAGCGCACGUAGGCGGACUCUUAAGUCGGUGGUGAAAUCCUGGAGCUCAACUCCAGAACUGCCUUCGAUACUGAGAGUCUCGAGUCCGGGAGAGGUGAGUGGAACUGCGAGUGU
RNAcentral lists this ribosomal RNA (595 nucleotides) under uncultured bacterium. RNAcentral's name for it is "bacterial SSU rRNA". It matches the Rfam family "Bacterial small subunit ribosomal RNA", at positions 32 to 676 of the family's 1533-position model. The record is from RNAcentral.